UACGUAGGGUGCAAGCGUUGUCCGGAAUUAUUGGGCGUAAAGAGCUCGUAGGCGGUCUGUCGCGUCGGAUGUGAAAACCCAGGGCUCAACCCUGGGCCUGCAUUCGAUACGGGCAGACUAGAGUUCGGUAGGGGAGACUGGAAUUCCUGGUGUAGCGGUGAAAUGCGCAGAUAUCAGGAGGAACACCGGUGGCGAAGGCGGGUCUCUGGGCCGAAACUGACGCUGAGGAGCGAAAGCGUGGGGAGCAAACGGG
This 253-nucleotide ribosomal RNA is filed under the name uncultured bacterium. Its description in RNAcentral is "partial 16S ribosomal RNA". It matches the Rfam family "Bacterial small subunit ribosomal RNA", at positions 524 to 776 of the family's 1533-position model. The record is from RNAcentral.